Molecule: ribosomal RNA, 484 nt
Filed under: uncultured bacterium
Lineage: Bacteria
Description: partial 16S ribosomal RNA
Rfam family: Bacterial small subunit ribosomal RNA
Source: RNAcentral
AUUGAACGCUGGCGGCAUGCCUUACACAUGCAAGUCGAACGGCAGCGCGGGAGCAAUCCUGGCGGCGAGUGGCGAACGGGUGAGUAAUACAUCGGAACGUGCCCAAUCGUGGGGGAUAACGCAGCGAAAGCUGUGCUAAUACCGCAUACGAUCUACGGAUGAAAGCAGGGGAUCGCAAGACCUUGCGCGACUGGAGCGGCCGAUGGCAGAUUAGGUAGUUGGUGAGGUAAAGGCUCACCAAGCCUUCGAUCUGUAGCUGGUCUGAGAGGACGACCAGCCACACUGGGACUGAGACACGGCCCAGACUCCUACGGGAGGCAGCAGUGGGGAAUUUUGGACAAUGGGCGAAAGCCUGAUCCAGCCAUCCCGCGUGCAGGAUGAAGGCCUUCGGGUUGUAAACUGCUUUUGUACGGAACGAAACGGUCUUUUCUAAUAAAGAAGGCUAAUGACGGUACCGUAAGAAUAAGCACCGGCUAACUACGUG